AUCUUUCUGGGAGCAGCUUUGGGAGUGUGUGUGGUUGUGAUCUCUGCUGAAACCAUUAUAAUCUUUAAGAGGAGAAACAGUGACCACGGCAGUGAGAAAAAACUACAAGGUUCAUCAGCAGAGAACACAACCAGUCAGACUGCUGAGAGUCUGAAUUACGCUCCCAUCCAUUUCAAAGAGAACAAAGCCAAACCUGGACGAGUGAAGAGAGAACAGCCUGAAGACAUUGUUUACUCUCAAGUGAGAAGCUCUAAUGCUAAAGCUCAUCGAUCUCAUCGCUAGAUCUCUUUCCUGUAGUGAGCAGUAGUGAAGUUUGGGGAUGUUUUUAUUUUACUGGGAUAUUCAGAGCUGCACAUGAUCUCCAGGUUAGUUUAGUGAUGUUUAUGAUUUCUCUUGAUUUUGGACUGUGAGGGUGUUUGCUGUUUUUAUUGAUGUUUGCCAGGAUCUACAGUGAAGUGCUGUGCUUUGAUUAGCAGUUUGUUUAAAAAAG
This is a long non-coding RNA of Pygocentrus nattereri (red-bellied piranha), 490 nucleotides long. RefSeq lists it as uncharacterized. The record is from RefSeq and is a predicted model, not a curated record. The transcript has 3 exons. NCBI's taxonomy places the organism in Eukaryota, Metazoa, Chordata, Actinopteri, Characiformes, Serrasalmidae.